GACGAACGCUGGCGGCGUGCCUAAUACAUGCCAGUAGAACGCACAGUUUAUACCGUAGCUUGCUACACCAUAGACUGUGAGUUGCGAACGGGUGAGUAACGCGUAGGUAACCUGCCUGGUAGCGGGGGAUAACUAUUGGAAACGAUAGCUAAUACCGCAUAAUAUUAAUUAUUGCAUGAUAAUUAAUUGAAAGGUGCAAUUGCACCACUACCAGAUGGACCUGCGUUGUAUUAGCUAGUAGGUGAGGUAACGGCCCACCUAGGCGACGAUACAUAGCCGACCUGAGAGGGUGAUAGGCCACACUGGGACUGAGACACGGCCCAGACUCCUACGGGAGGCAGCAGUAGGGAAUCUUCGGCAAUGGACGAAAGUCUGACCGAGCAACGCCGCGGGAGUGAAGAAGGGUUUCGGAUCGUAAAGCUCUGUUGUAAGAGAAGAACGGGUGUGAGAGUGGAAAGUUCACACUGUGACGGUAUCUUACCAGAAAGGGACGGCUAACUACGUG
Molecule: ribosomal RNA, 505 nt
Filed under: uncultured bacterium
Lineage: Bacteria
Description: partial 16S ribosomal RNA
Rfam family: Bacterial small subunit ribosomal RNA
Source: RNAcentral